AUUGAACGCUGGCGGCAUGUUUUACACAUGCAAGUCGAACGGCAGCGCGGGCUUCGGCCUGGCGGCGAGUGGCGAACGGGUGAGUAAUGCAUCGGAACGUGCCCAGUAGUGGGGGAUAGCCCGGCGAAAGCCGGAUUAAUACCGCAUACGACCUGAGGGUGAAAGCGGGGGACCGAAAGGCCUCGCGCUAUUGGAGCGGCCGAUGUCGGAUUAGCUAGUUGGUGGGGUAAAGGCUUACCAAGGCGACGAUCCGUAGCUGGUCUGAGAGGACGACCGGCCACACUGGGACUGAGACACGGCCCAGACUCCUACGGGAGGCAGCAGUGGGGAAUUUUGGACAAUGGGGGCAACCCUGAUCCAGCCAUGCCGCGUGCGGGAAGAAGGCCUUCGGGUUGUAAACCGCUUUUGUUCGGGAAGAAAUCCUCUGGGCUAAUACCCCGGGGGGAUGACGGUACCGGAAGAAUAAGCACCGGCUAACUACGUG
RNAcentral lists this ribosomal RNA (484 nucleotides) under uncultured bacterium. RNAcentral's name for it is "partial 16S ribosomal RNA". It matches the Rfam family "Bacterial small subunit ribosomal RNA", at positions 28 to 507 of the family's 1533-position model. The record is from RNAcentral.